AGAGUUUGAUCAUGGCUCAGGAUAAACGCUGGCGGCGUGCAUAACACAUUCAAGUCGAACGGUGCGAGGUGAAGCUUGCUUCACCGAAGCAUAGUGGCGGACGGGUGAGUAACGCGUGAGCAACCUGCCUGUGUGAGGGGAAUAACGUCCGGAAACAGACGCUAAUACCGCAUGAAGCACGGACACCGCAUGGUGACCGUGCCAAAAGAUUUAUCGCACACAGAUGGGCUCG
Molecule: ribosomal RNA, 232 nt
Filed under: uncultured bacterium
Lineage: Bacteria
Description: partial 16S ribosomal RNA
Rfam family: Bacterial small subunit ribosomal RNA
Source: RNAcentral